GCGCGUAAAUUGCCCGAAUCCUGACACAGGGAGGUAGUGACAAGAAAUAACAAUACAGGGCUAUCUUAGUCUUGUAAUUGGAAUGAGUACAAUUUACAUCUCUUCACGAGGAUCAAUUGGAGGGCAAGUCUGGUGCCAGCAGCCGCGGUAAUUCCAGCUCCAAUAGCGUAUAUUAAAGUUGUUGCAGUUAAAACGCUCGUAGUCGGAUUUCGGGGCGGGGCCGCCGGUCUGCCGAUGGGUAUGCACUGGCGGUCGCGUCCUUCCUUCCGGAGACUGGCCCUACUCUUAACUGAGCGGGGUCGGGAGACGGAUCGUUUACUUUGAAAAAAUCAGAGUGUUUCAAGCAGGCAGCUCGCUCUUGCAUGGAUUAGCAUGGGAUAAUGAAAUAGGACUUUGGUGCUAUUUUGUUGGUUUCGAACACCGAAGUAAUGAUUAACAGGGACAGUCAGGGGCACUCGUAUUCC
Molecule: ribosomal RNA, 464 nt
Filed under: Haptophyta environmental samples
Lineage: Eukaryota; Haptophyta
Description: SSU rRNA
Rfam family: Eukaryotic small subunit ribosomal RNA
Source: RNAcentral